RNAcentral lists this ribosomal RNA (229 nucleotides) under uncultured bacterium. RNAcentral's name for it is "partial 16S ribosomal RNA". It matches the Rfam family "Bacterial small subunit ribosomal RNA", at positions 15 to 235 of the family's 1533-position model. The record is from RNAcentral.
GACCCUGGCUCAGGAUGAACGCUAGCUACAGGCUUAACACAUGCAAGUCGAGGGGCAGCAUGGUCUUAGCUUGCUAAGGCCGAUGGCGACCGGCGCACGGGUGAGUAACACGUAUCCAACCUGCCGUCUACUCUUGGACAGCCUUCUGAAAGGAAGAUUAAUACAAGAUGGCAUCAUGAGUCCGCAUGUUCACAUGAUUAAAGGUAUUCCGGUAGACGAUGGGGAUGCG